RNAcentral lists this transfer RNA (74 nucleotides) under Candidatus Omnitrophota bacterium. RNAcentral's name for it is "Candidatus Omnitrophica bacterium (sediment metagenome) tRNA-Val". It matches the Rfam family "tRNA". Rfam says of the family: Transfer RNA (tRNA) molecules are approximately 80 nucleotides in length. Their secondary structure includes four short double-helical elements and three loops (D, anti-codon, and T loops). The record is from RNAcentral. Lineage: Bacteria; Pseudomonadati; Candidatus Omnitrophota.
GGGCGAUUGGCUCAGUUGGUUAGAGCGUCACAUUCACAUUGUGAAGGCCAGAGGUUCAAGUCCUCUAUCGCCCA